AUGAUGUAGCGCAGUGCUAGUGCGACUGCCCGCGAUGCAGAAGAUUCCGGGUUCGAUUCCCGAUCACUCAUA
Molecule: non-coding RNA, 72 nt
Organism: Phthorimaea operculella (potato tuberworm)
Lineage: Eukaryota; Metazoa; Arthropoda; Insecta; Lepidoptera; Gelechiidae
Source: the annotation of a GenBank genome assembly